RNAcentral lists this ribosomal RNA (497 nucleotides) under uncultured bacterium. RNAcentral's name for it is "partial 16S ribosomal RNA". It matches the Rfam family "Bacterial small subunit ribosomal RNA", at positions 28 to 507 of the family's 1533-position model. The record is from RNAcentral.
GAUGAACGCUGGCGGCGUGCCUAAUACAUGCAAGUCGAGCGAACAGACGAUGAGCUUUCGCCUCUGAGGUUAGCGACUGACGGGCGAGUAACACGUGCAUAACCUACCUAUAUUACUUGGGUAACUUCGUGAAGCCGGAGCUAAUACCGGAUAAUAUAAUCUACCGCAUGAUUCAAUAGUGAAUGGCGGUUUUGCUGUCACUUAUAGAUGGAUCCGCGUCGCAUUAGCUAGUUGGUAAGGUAACGGCUUACCAAGGCAACGAUGCGUAGCUGACCUGAGAGGAUGAUCGGCCACACUGGAACUGAGACACGGUCCAGACUCCUACGGGAGGCAGCAGUAGGGAAUAUUCCGCAAUGGGCGAAAGCCUGACGCAGCAACGCCGCGUGAGUGAUGAAGGUCUUCGGAUCGUAAAACUCUGUUAUUAGGGAAGAAAAACUGUGUAAGAAACUAUGCACGUCUUGACGGUACCUAAUCAGAAAGCAACGGCUAACUUCGUG